This 76-nucleotide transfer RNA is filed under the name bacterium. RNAcentral's name for it is "tRNA-Asn". It matches the Rfam family "tRNA". From Rfam's summary of the family: Transfer RNA (tRNA) molecules are approximately 80 nucleotides in length. The record is from RNAcentral. RNAcentral also lists the same sequence under 3 other names.
UCCCCGGUAGCUCAGUUGGUAGAGCGCCUGACUGUUAAUCAGGAAGUCGCUGGUUCGAGACCAGCCCGGGGAGCCA